GGAGGAAAAGAAACUAACAAGGAUUCCCCUAGUAACUGCGAGUGAAGCGGGAAAAGCUCAAAUUUAAAAUCUGGUGGUCUUUGGCCAUCCGAGUUGUAAUCUAGAGAAGUGUUAUCCGCGCUGGACCGUGUACAAGUCCCCUGGAAUGGGGCGUCAUAGAGGGUGAGAAUCCCGUCUUUGACACGGACUACCAGGGCUUUGUGAUGCACUCUCAAAGAGUCGAGUUGUUUGGGAAUGCAGCUCAAAAUGGGUGGUAAAUUCCAUCUAAAGCUAAAUAUUGGCGAGAGACCGAUAGCGAACAAGUACCGUGAGGGAAAGAUGAAAAGAACUUUGGAAAGAGAGUUAAACAGUACGUGAAAUUGUUGAAAGGGAAACGCUUGAAGUCAGUCGCGUCUGCCAGGGAUCAACCUUACUUUUGUGAGGCGUACUUCCUGGUUGAUGGGUCAGCAUCAGUUUUGGUCGCUGGAUAAAGGUCAGAGAAAUGUGGCACCUUCGGGUGUGUUAUAGUCUUUGAUCAGAUACAGUGGCUGGGACUGAGGAACUCAGCGCCGCAAGGCUGUCUUAGGAUGCUGGCAAAAUGGCUUUAAUCGACCCGUCU
This 598-nucleotide ribosomal RNA is filed under the name Pleurotus pulmonarius. Its description in RNAcentral is "partial large subunit ribosomal RNA". It matches the Rfam family "Eukaryotic large subunit ribosomal RNA", at positions 52 to 654 of the family's 3401-position model. The record is from RNAcentral. Lineage: Eukaryota; Fungi; Basidiomycota; Agaricomycetes; Agaricales; Pleurotaceae.